RNAcentral lists this ribosomal RNA (716 nucleotides) under uncultured Bacteroidales bacterium. RNAcentral's name for it is "bacterial SSU rRNA". It matches the Rfam family "Bacterial small subunit ribosomal RNA", at positions 70 to 776 of the family's 1533-position model. Lineage: Bacteria; Pseudomonadati; Bacteroidota; Bacteroidia; Bacteroidales. The record is from RNAcentral.
CAUCAGGAAGAAAGCUUGCUUUCUUUGCUGGCGACCGGCGCACGGGUGAGUAACACGUAUCCAACCUGCCCUUUACUCGGGGAUAGCCUUUCGAAAGAAAGAUUAAUACCCGAUAGCAUAAUGAUUCCGCAUGGUUUCAUUAUUUAAGGAUUCCGGUAAAGGAUGGGGAUGCGUUCCAUUAGGUUGUUGGUGAGGUAACGGCCCACCAAGCCUUCGAUGGAUAGGGGUUCUGAGAGGAAGGUCCCCCACAUUGGAACUGAGACACGGUCCAAACUCCUACGGGAGGCAGCAGUGAGGAAUAUUGGUCAAUGGGCGUUAGCCUGAACCAGCCAAGUAGCGUGAAGAAUGAAGGCUCUAUGGGUCGUAAACUUCUUUUAUAUAAGAAUAAAGUGCAGUAUGUAUACUGUUUUGUAUGUAUUAUAUGAAUGAGGAUCGGCUAACUCCGUGCCAGCAGCCGCGGUAAUACGGAGGAUCCGAGCGUUAUCCGGAUUUAUUGGGUUUAAAGGGAGCGUAGGUGGACUGGUAAGUCAGUUGUGAAAGUUUGCGGCUCAACCGUAAAAUUGCAGUUGAUACUGUCAGUCUUGAGUACAGUAGAGGUGGGCGGAAUUCGUGGUGUAGCGGUGAAAUGCUUAGAUAUCACGAAGAACUCCGAUUGCGAAGGCAGCUCACUGGACUGCAACUGACACUGAUGCUCGAAAGUGUGGGUAUCAAACAGG